Molecule: ribosomal RNA, 520 nt
Filed under: uncultured bacterium
Lineage: Bacteria
Description: partial 16S ribosomal RNA
Rfam family: Bacterial small subunit ribosomal RNA
Source: RNAcentral
GACGAACGCUGGCGGCGUGCCUAAUACAUGCAAGUCGAACGCACUCUCGUUUAGAUUGAAGGAGUUUGCUCCUGAUUGAUAAACAUUUGAGUGAGUGGCGGACGGGUGAGUAACACGUGGGUAACCUGCCCUAAAGUGGGGGAUAACAUUUGGAAACAGAUGCUAAUACCGCAUAAAACCUAACACCGCAUGGUGUAGGGUUGAAAGAUGGUUUCGGCUAUCACUUUAGGAUGGACCCGCGGUGCAUUAGUUAGUUGGUGAGGUAAAGGCUCACCAAGACCGUGAUGCAUAGCCGACCUGAGAGGGUAAUCGGCCACACUGGGACUGAGACACGGCCCAGACUCCUACGGGAGGCAGCAGUAGGGAAUCUUCCACAAUGGACGAAAGUCUGAUGGAGCAACGCCGCGUGAGUGAAGAAGGUUUUCGGAUCGUAAAACUCUGUUGUUGGAGAAGAAUGUAUCUGAUAGUAACUGAUCAGGUAGUGACGGUAUCCAACCAGAAAGCCACCGCUAACUACGUG